UACGUAGGCAGCGAGCGUUGUUCGGAGUUACUGGGCGUAAAGGGCUCGUAGGCGGCCAACUAAGUCGGACGUGAAAUCCCUCAGCUUAACUGGGGAACUGCGUCCGAUACUGGAUGGCUUGGAUUCGGGAGAGGAAUGCGGAAUUCCAGGUGUAGCGGUGAAAUGCGUAGAUAUCUGGAGGAACACCGGUGGCGAAGGCGGCAUUCUGGACCGACAUUGACGCUGAGGAGCGAAAGCCAGGGGAGCAAACGGG
Molecule: ribosomal RNA, 253 nt
Filed under: uncultured bacterium
Lineage: Bacteria
Description: partial 16S ribosomal RNA
Rfam family: Bacterial small subunit ribosomal RNA
Source: RNAcentral